CCAGCUCAGGCUAGGAGCUUGCAUCCUGUUGCCCCAACCCAGUCCUUCAGAACAGAGUGUACUCAAAGCUCCAGGACAAAAAUCUGGAAGCAGAGAGCCGGCUUGCAUUUGGACUGAGGCUGAGUGAUGAAAAGAGCAGACAGAGAAAACAACAAGUUCAAAGUUCCUGAGGGCGACCCACCGGAGGGAGCUGCUGGAGGCUUAUGAGAAACAUAGAUUCUCAAGCCUUAUCCCAGGCUUCAUGAAUCAGAACCUUCCCUUGAAGAAGCUCCUGGUCAUCCGUGUGUUCCUAUCUUUGAACAGACACUGCCCUGAGCACCAAAUGAGUGGCUGUCAAUUUGGAGCCUGCAUAAGGACUUCUCACCCCGCCCCAUCCUCUGGAGGCAGGCUGCUGGCAACUGUGGCUGGCACAUCUGGUGCUCCUCUCUGCCUACCUUGAUGACUCAGACAAAUGACUGAGUCAGAUAGUUUGUCUCUCCAGCCCUUGAAUGCUGCCUGGAACAUAGCAGGCACUCGAUAAAUAUUCAGUGCAUGAAUGCUGAACAAAUCUUAUGCUAUCUUCUUUUUUCAAUUAAAGCACUGGGGUACAGGGGACCUCUGCUUCUGGACAUAAAUUGCAAGUUAUUUUGAAGGAUUUUUGUGUUCUUAGUAAAGACUCCUGGAAGAACUUCCAUUGUCUAAUGAGCAAUUACUG
This 694-nucleotide long non-coding RNA is filed under the name Cricetulus griseus (Chinese hamster). RNAcentral's name for it is "lncRNA (ENSCGRG00015041830.1)". Lineage: Eukaryota; Metazoa; Chordata; Mammalia; Rodentia; Cricetidae. The record is from RNAcentral.